Notechis scutatus (mainland tiger snake) is the source of this 152-nucleotide non-coding RNA. The record is from RefSeq and is a predicted model, not a curated record. Lineage: Eukaryota; Metazoa; Chordata; Lepidosauria; Squamata; Elapidae.
AACUUGUAAAUGCUCCAGCAUUGGAAAAUUUCAAGAAGGGAUUGGAUAACCAUCUGUCUGAAAUGCUAUAGGAUUUCUUGCCUAAGCAGGGGGUUGGACUAGAAGACCUCCAAGGCCCCAUCCAACUCUGUUAUUCUGUAUGCAUAGCAACU